This 429-nucleotide ribosomal RNA is filed under the name uncultured Acinetobacter sp. RNAcentral describes it as "bacterial SSU rRNA". It matches the Rfam family "Bacterial small subunit ribosomal RNA", at positions 355 to 774 of the family's 1533-position model. The record is from RNAcentral. Lineage: Bacteria; Pseudomonadati; Pseudomonadota; Gammaproteobacteria; Moraxellales; Moraxellaceae.
UGGGGAAUAUUGGACAAUGGGGGAACCGUGCAUCCAGCCAUGCCGCGUGUGUGAAGAAGGCCUUAUGGUUGUAAAGCACUUUAAGCGAGGAGGAGGCUCUUCUAGUUAAUACCUAGGAUGAGUGGACGUUACUCGCAGAAUAAGCACCGGCUAACUCUGUGCCAGCAGCCGCGGUAAUACAGAGGGUGCGAGCGUUAAUCGGAUUUACUGGGCGUAAAGCGUGCGUAGGCGGCUUUUUAAGUCGGAUGUGAAAUCCCCGAGCUUAACUUGGGAAUUGCAUUCGAUACUGGGAAGCUAGAGUAUGGGAGAGGAUGGUAGAAUUCCAGGUGUAGCGGUGAAAUGCGUAGAGAUCUUGGAGGAAUACCGAUGGCGAAGGCAGCCAUCUGGCCUAAUACUGACGCUGAGGUACGAAAGCAUGGGGAGCAAACA